CAUAGCACUGCUUGUUAAAUCAUCAUUAUGCCAGGCCACCCCUAGCACUGCACAUUAAAUAAUCAUUAUGCCAGGCCGCCCAUAGCACUGCACUUUAAAUAAUCAUUAUGCCAGGCCGCCCAUAGCACUGCACGUUAAAUCAUCAUUAUGCCGCCCAUAGCACUGCUUGUUAAAUCAUCAUUAUGCAAGGCUGCCCACAGCACUGCACGUUAAAUCAUCAUUAUGCCAGGCCGCCCAUAGCACUGCACGUUAAAUCAUCAUUAUGCCGCCCAUAGCACUGCUUGUUAAAUCAUCAUUAUGCC
Molecule: non-coding RNA, 302 nt
Organism: Pelobates cultripes (western spadefoot toad)
Lineage: Eukaryota; Metazoa; Chordata; Amphibia; Anura; Pelobatidae
Source: the annotation of a GenBank genome assembly